Molecule: ribosomal RNA, 390 nt
Filed under: uncultured bacterium
Lineage: Bacteria
Description: bacterial SSU rRNA
Rfam family: Bacterial small subunit ribosomal RNA
Source: RNAcentral
GAUGAACGCUAGCGGCAGGCUUAAUACAUGCAAGACGAACGGUAAGUAUUGUAGCAAUAUAAUACGAGAGUGUCGUACGGGUGCGUAACACGUAUGCAACCUACCUUGUACAGGCGGAUAGCUCGGGGAAACUCGAAUUAACCCGCCAUAAUAUCAUUGAAUGGCAUCGUUUGAUGAUUAAAACUCAGGUGGUACAAGAUGGGCAUGCGACUGAUUAGCAGUUGGUAGUGUAACGGACUACCAAGGCAAUGAUCAGUAGGGGACCUGAGAGGGUGAUCCCCCACACUGGGCACUGGAGAGUACGGGCCAGACUCCUACGGGAGGCAGCAGUAGGGAAUAUUGGUCAAUGGGUGAGAGCCUGAACCAGCCAUGCCGCGUGCAGGAAGAAGG